GACGGAGGAUGCAAGCGUUAUCCGGAAUUAUUGGGCGUAAAGCGUCCGCAGGUUGUUAGUCAAGUCUGCCGUUAAAGCUCGGGGCUCAACUCCGAAAAGGCGGUGGAAACUGGCUGACUAGAGUACGGUAGGGGUAGAGGGAAUUCUCAGUGUAGCGGUGAAAUGCGUAGAGAUUGGGAAGAACACCAGUGGCGAAAGCGCUCUACUGGACCUGUACUGACACUCAGGGACGAAAGCUAGGGGAGCAAAAGGG
RNAcentral lists this ribosomal RNA (253 nucleotides) under uncultured bacterium. RNAcentral's name for it is "partial 16S ribosomal RNA". It matches the Rfam family "Bacterial small subunit ribosomal RNA", at positions 524 to 776 of the family's 1533-position model. The record is from RNAcentral.